AGUGAACGCUGGCGGUAGGCCUAACACAUGCAAGUCGAACGGCAGCACAGUAAGAGCUUGCUCUUACGGGUGGCGAGUGGCGGACGGGUGAGGAAUACAUCGGAAUCUACUUUUUCGUGGGGGAUAACGUAGGGAAACUUACGCUAAUACCGCAUACGACCUACGGGUGAAAGCAGGGGAUCUUCGGACCUUGCGCGAUUGAAUGAGCCGAGGUCGGAUUAGCUAGUUGGCGGGGUAAAGGCCCACCAAGGGGACGAUCCGUAGCUGGUCUGAGGGGAUGAUCAGCCACACUGGAACUGAGACACGGUCCAGACUCCUCCGGGAGGCAGCAGUGGGGAAUAUUGGACAAUGGGCGCAAGCCUGAUCCAGCCAUACCGCGUGGGUGAAGAAGGCCUUCGGGUUGUAAAGCCCUUUUGUUGGGAAAGAAAAGCAGCAGGUUAAUACCCCGCUGUUCUGACGGUACCCAAAGAAUAAGCACCGGCUAACUUCGUG
RNAcentral lists this ribosomal RNA (492 nucleotides) under uncultured bacterium. RNAcentral describes it as "partial 16S ribosomal RNA". It matches the Rfam family "Bacterial small subunit ribosomal RNA", at positions 29 to 507 of the family's 1533-position model. The record is from RNAcentral.